RNAcentral lists this ribosomal RNA (496 nucleotides) under uncultured bacterium. Its description in RNAcentral is "bacterial SSU rRNA". It matches the Rfam family "Bacterial small subunit ribosomal RNA", at positions 29 to 513 of the family's 1533-position model. The record is from RNAcentral.
AACAAACGCUGGCGGCGUGUCUUAAGCAUGCAAGUUGAGCGGCAAGGAGGAGAGAUCCUCCCUAGAGCGGCGGACUGGUGAGUAACGCGUGGGUAAUCUAUCGUAGGCAUGGGGAUAGUCACUAGAAAUAGUGGGUAAUACCGAAUACGUUCCAUGAGGGGAGUACUUAUGGAAGAAAGGGUGCUAUGGCACUGGCCUUAGGUGAGCUCGCGUCCCAUUAGCUAGUUGGUGAGGUAAAGGCCCACCAAGGCGAUGAUGGGUAGCCGGCCUGAGAGGGUGUACGGCCACACUGGGACUGAGAUACGGCCCAGACUCCUACGGGAGGCAGCAGCUAAGAAUAUUCCGCAAUGGACGAAAGUCUGACGGAGCGACGCCGCGUGGAUGAAGAAGGCCGAAAGGUUGUAAAGUUCUUUUGCUAGGGGAGAAUAAGUGAGGGAGGGAAUGUCCUCAUGAUGACAAGGACUAGCGAAUAAGCCCCGGCAACUACGUGCCAGCA